GCGGGUGUCAGCCGGGCCUCGCCCACCACCCUGCAAAGGGGACUGGGCGUGGCCGGAGGGGGGUGUCCGGGAGGCCGCCGCGCCUUUAGUUUCGGGGAUGGGGAGCGGCAGGCCCGGGCGGGGUCAGCAGUCCUCGCCUGCGUCUCCGCUAGAGAUGUGGCUUAGGGGCGGAGGCGGGGCGAGGUGGGGUGGGGUUGGUGUUGCAGCCGCGUGAGUGGGCCCUGUCCUCUCUCCCCAGCUCCUGCCCCGGAGCCUGGCCCUGGCGAGGCAGGAAUGGCCCCGAGGCCUCCGACGGCCGCGCCCCAGGAAUCAGUGACAUUCAAAGAUGUGUCUGUGGACUUCACCCAGGAAGAAUGGUACCACGUCGACCCUGCUCAGAGGAGCUUAUACAGGGAUGUGAUGCUGGAGAACUAUAGCCACCUGGUUUCUCUUGAGUUCCUGAGGAUCAAGGACUAGUACUGACUUGUCCUUAGGAGGGUUCUUUGUCCACUUGCACAAACAACCAAAUCUUGUGUAUUUACCCAUGAGCAGGAUAUCAAGUUUCCAAGCCAGAGGUGAUCUUCAAAUUGGAGCAAGGAGAAGAGCCAUGGAUAUCAGAGGGAGAAAUCCAAAGACCUUUCUGUCCAGACUGGAAGACCAGGCCUGAAUUCAAAUCAUCACAUCUGCAGCAGGAUGUAUCCAAAGUAUCCCACUGCACAGAUGAUCUCUCACGUGCUGCAUUAGAAGACUCCUGGGAUGUUAGCAGCCAGUUAGACAGGCAACAAGAAAACUGGAAGAGACAUCUGGGAUCAGAGGCAUCCACCCAGAAGAAAAUAGUCACACCACAAGAAAGUUUUGAGCAAAAUAAAUGUGGUGAAAACUCUAGAUUGAACACCAAUUUGGUUACACAACUGAACAUUCCUGCAAGAAUAAGGCCUAGUGAAUGUGAGACCCUUGGAAGCAAUUUGGGACAAAAUGCAGACUUACUUAAUCAGAAUAAUAUUCCUGCAAAAAAGAAACCCUAUAAGUGUGAUAAAUGUAGAAAAGCCUUUAUUCAUAGAUCAUCACUUACUAAACAUGAGAAAACUCAUAAAGGAGAGGGAGCUUUCCCUAAUGGAACAGAUCAGGGAAUUUUUCCUGGAAAGAAACACCACGAAUGUACUGACUGUGGGAAAACCUUUCUCUGGAAGACACAGCUUACUGAACAUCAGAGAAUUCACACUGGGGAGAAGCCAUUUGAAUGCAAUGUGUGUGGAAAGGCCUUCAGGCAUAGCUCAUCUCUUGGUCAGCAUGAGAAUGCUCAUACCGGAGAGAAACCCUAUCAGUGUAGUCUCUGUGGGAAAGCCUUCCAGCGCAGCUCCUCCCUUGUUCAACACCAGCGAAUUCACACUGGAGAGAAACCCUAUCGAUGUAAUCUAUGUGGAAGGUCCUUUAGGCAUGGCACAUCCCUCACUCAACAUGAGGUCACACAUAGUGGAGAGAAGCCCUUCCAGUGUAAGGAAUGUGGGAAAGCCUUUAGUCGAUGUUCUUCCCUUGUCCAACAUGAGAGGACUCAUACUGGAGAGAAACCUUUUGAAUGUAGCAUAUGCGGGAGGGCUUUUGGUCAGAGCCCAUCCCUUUAUAAACAUAUGAGGAUUCAUAAGAGAGGCAAACCUUACCAAAGCAAUAACUACAGCAUAGAUUUCAAGCACAACUCAUCUCUCACUCAAGAUGAAAGCACUCUUACUGAAGUGAAAUCCUACCAUUGUGAUGACUGUGGGGAAGACUUUAGUCACAUUACAGACUUUACUGACCAUCAGAGGAUCCAUACUGGAGAGAAUCCCUAUGAUUGUGACCAGGUUUUUAAUCAGCAAGCUAUUUCUCAUCCUGGAGAGAAACCCUAUCAGUGUAAUGUAUGUGGAAAAGCUUUCAAAAGGAGUACAAGUUUCAUAGAACAUCACAGAAUUCAUACUGGAGAGAAACCCUAUGAAUGUAAUGAGUGUGGAGAAGCCUUUAGUCGACGCUCAUCACUUACUCAACAUGAGAGAACCCACACUGGAGAGAAACCCUAUGAAUGUAUUGACUGUGGGAAAGCCUUUAGUCAAAGUUCAUCCCUCAUUCAGCAUGAGAGAACUCAUACCGGAGAGAAGCCCUAUGAAUGUAAUGAAUGUGGGAGAGCUUUCCGAAAGAAAACCAACCUGCAUGAUCAUCAGAGAAUUCAUACUGGAGAAAAACCCUAUUCUUGUAAGGAAUGUGGGAAAAACUUCAGCCGAAGUUCAGCUCUUACUAAACACCAGAGAAUUCACACUCGAAAUAAACUCUAGGAACCUUGAAGUUAAGGAAUUUUCAGAAUGCUUUAGCUAACGUGUUGUUCUGAUUCAGGAUCAGAGGAUUCUUAAAGAGAGAGAGCUUUGGAAUGUAAUGAAUUAUGUGUGUGUUUGUAUGUUGUAUGUGGAGAAAACUGCCAGUAGACAGAUUUUUUUUUAUAUAAAUAAAAGCUCAGAUCUGAUAACAGACUGGUGUGAAAACAUCUACAUAUAUGUAGCUGGUUGGAAAUUAAAUGUCUAUAUAUUGGACUUUAUAAAGCUUUUGAAUAUAUGUAUGCAGGAGAUCAUCAAGUUUCAGCAUCUUGACUUAUAACCCCCAAUGUUAACAGCUUUAAAAAAAAAUAAAUUCCUGCAGUAAUGACCAAAAAUCAUUUUAAAAAUUGCUUGACAACUGCACCCAACUGCAGCUCUUACAUUAACUUCGCCGUGGAAACCCGUUCCACCUCCAGGAAGUCACCAUUCAAAGAAUUAGAUCAGCUAGCCGAACCACUUCAUUGUACAGAUGAAGAGACUGAAAGCCAAAGAUGUGAAGUGGUUUCCACAGUAUGAUACAGCCUAUAGGGGUAAAGCUGGGUUAAGAAUACAGGUUUCCUGGAUUUGCGGCCCUAUAGCUUUGUCAGAGAAAAGGUAUUUUAGAACUCAGAGGGCUUUAAAAUAAAUUUUAAGAUAUAUCAGAUACCCAAACAUUUAAUGAGCACCUAUGGGUUGGACGCUUUGGGAAUUCCUAAAAGCAUAAGUGGCAGCAAGAUGUAUGCAAAUUUAUCACAAACUGUUUAAAGCAACUUCUUGGAGGCUUACAAAACACAAUUUAACAGAAACUGUAGAUGGUUGAACUACUAGUGACUUUUUUUUCCUUUUCCCAGUUACACUUAUUAUACUUUCAGCUAAUAAUAUGCCAGUUUCACAGAACUAUUAAGUCCUCUUAUUGUGCUUUUUAUGGCAUGCCCAUGAAAAAGCACUAGCUUAAGCCUACAAUAUCAGAUCAAUGGCAAAACAGCGUAAAACUAAGAGGAGAAUUUUCCCCUGUUAAUUUUAUUGUGGAAAAGUCUAAGUCUAAUUGCCCAUUGCCAUAAAUUUUGUCUUUUACUCAGUUUAGAGUAACACCAUAUACUGACUCAUUUUGUGUGCAAAGAAAAUAUUUCACCAUUAAAAAAAUUAACUUGGCUAGGUAUGGUGGCUCACACAUGUAAUCCUAGCAUUUUGGGUGACUAAGGCACGCAGACUGAGCCCAGGGGUCCAAGACCAGCCUGGACAACAUGGUGAAACCCUACCUCUU
Non-coding RNA from Saimiri boliviensis boliviensis (Bolivian squirrel monkey), 3561 nucleotides. The record is from RefSeq and is a predicted model, not a curated record. NCBI's taxonomy places the organism in Eukaryota, Metazoa, Chordata, Mammalia, Primates, Cebidae.